Molecule: ribosomal RNA, 468 nt
Filed under: uncultured bacterium
Lineage: Bacteria
Description: partial 16S ribosomal RNA
Rfam family: Bacterial small subunit ribosomal RNA
Source: RNAcentral
GAUGAACGCUGGCGGCGUGCCUAACACAUGCAAGCCGAGCGAUUUACUUCGGUAAAGAGCGGCGGACGGGUGAGUAACGCGGGGGUAACCUGCCCUGUACACACGGAUAACAUACUGAAAGGUAUGCUAAUACGGGAUAACAUAAGAGAGUCGCAUGGCUUUCUUAUCAAAGCUUUUGCGGUACAGGAUGGACCCGCGUCUGAUUAGCUAGUUGGUAAGGUAACGGCUUACCAAGGCGACGAUCAGUAGCCGACCUGCGAGGGUGAUCGGCCACAUUGGAACUGAGACACGGUCCAAACUCCUACGGGAGGCAGCAGUGGGGAAUAUUGCACAAUGGGCGAAAGCCUGAUGCAGCAACGCCGCGUGAGCGAUGAAGGCCUUCGGGUCGUAAAGCUCUGUCCUCAAGGAAGAUAAUGACGGUACUUGAGGAGGAAGCCCCGGCUAACUACGUGCCAGCCGCCGCAGUAA